GGGGGGGGGGGGGGGGGGGGGGGGGGGGGGCGGGGCGGGCGGGGGGGCGGGGGGGUGGCUUGGCGGAUGUGAGGGGCGGACGGGUGGGUACCACGUGGAUAACCUACCUAUAAGCCGGGGGUGACGUCGGGACGCCGGAGCUAGUCCGGGAUAAGAUUUUGCACCGCAUGGUGCAAAAGUGAAAGACGGUCUUGCUGUCACUUAUAGCUGGAUCCGCGCUGCAUUAGCUAGUUGGUAAGGUAACGGCUUACCGAGGCACCGAUGCAUAGCCGACCUGAGAGAGUGAUCGGCCACACGGGAGCUGAGACACGGUCCAGACUCCUACGGGAGGCAGCAGUAGGGAAGCUUCCGCAAUGGGCGAAAGCCUGACGGAGCAACGCCGCGUGAGUGAUGAAGGUCUUCGGAUCGUAAAACUCUGUUAUUAGGGAAGAACAUAUGUGUAAGUAACUGUGCACAUCUUGACUGUACCCAAUCAGAAAGCCACGGCUAACUACGUG
Molecule: ribosomal RNA, 497 nt
Filed under: uncultured bacterium
Lineage: Bacteria
Description: partial 16S ribosomal RNA
Rfam family: Bacterial small subunit ribosomal RNA
Source: RNAcentral